This 447-nucleotide ribosomal RNA is filed under the name uncultured bacterium. Its description in RNAcentral is "bacterial SSU rRNA". It matches the Rfam family "Bacterial small subunit ribosomal RNA", at positions 330 to 794 of the family's 1533-position model. The record is from RNAcentral.
CCCAGACUCCUACGGGAGGCAGCAGUGGGGAAUAUUGCACAAUGGGGGAAACCCUGAUGCAGCGACGCCGCGUGAGUGAAGAAGCAUUUCGGUAUGUAAAGCUCUAUCAGCAGGGAAGAAAAUGACGGUACCUGACUAAGAAGCCCCGGCUAACUACGUGCCAGCAGCCGCGGUAAUACGUAGGGGGCAAGCGUUAUCCGGAUUUACUGGGUGUAAAGGGAGCGUAGACGGCAUGGCAAGUCAGAUGUGAAAGCCCGGGGCUCAACCCCGGGACUGCAUUUGAAACUGUCAGGCUGGAGUGCAGGAGAGGUAAGUGGAAUUCCUAGUGUAGCGGUGAAAUGCGUAGAUAUUAGGAGGAACACCAGUGGCGAAGGCGGCUUACUGGACUGUAACUGACGUUGAGGCUCGAAAGCGUGGGGAGCAAACAGGAUUAGAUACCCUGGUACU